UGGGGAAUAUUGCACAAUGGGCGCAAGCCUGAUGCAGCAACGCCGCGUGCGGGAUGACGGCCUUCGGGUUGUAAACCGCUUUCAGCAGGGACGAAGCGCAAGUGACGGUACCUGCAGAAGAAGCACCGGCUAACUACGUGCCAGCAGCCGCGGUGAUACGUAGGGUGCGAGCGUUGUCCGGAUUUAUUGGGCGUAAAGAGCUUGUAGGCGGUCGGUCACGUCGAAAGUGCAAACUCAGGGCUUAACCCUGAGCCUGCUUUCGAUACGGGCUGACUAGAGGAAGGUAGGGGAGAAUGGAAUUCCCGGUGGAGCGGUGGAAUGCGCAGAUAUCGGGAGGAACACCAGUGGCGAAGGCGGUUCUCUGGGCAACAACUGACGCUGAGGAGCGAAAGCGUGGGGAGCGAACAGG
Molecule: ribosomal RNA, 409 nt
Filed under: uncultured prokaryote
Also listed under: 1 other name
Description: bacterial SSU rRNA
Rfam family: Bacterial small subunit ribosomal RNA
Source: RNAcentral